Molecule: non-coding RNA, 22 nt
Filed under: Arabidopsis thaliana (thale cress)
Lineage: Eukaryota; Viridiplantae; Streptophyta; Magnoliopsida; Brassicales; Brassicaceae
Source: RNAcentral
UUCCCUGGUGUAGAAUUUUGAU